Molecule: long non-coding RNA, 599 nt
Filed under: Anthonomus grandis grandis
Lineage: Eukaryota; Metazoa; Arthropoda; Insecta; Coleoptera; Curculionidae
Description: uncharacterized LOC126744470
Source: RNAcentral
AUAUAUCGGAGAGUAUGUAAAGAAAGAGCAAGAAGGCAGAUAUAUGUACCUAACAUAUACCUCCUAUAUAUACAUUUUAUAUAAUAAAUAAUCGUCGUGUGGUGUCGUGUGCUGUCCUAAAAUUAGCGAUCAAAAUGGCGUUACGCACUUUCAGUAAAUUAGUGUUUUUGAUGCUAAUAGUUCAACUGGUCCAUAGUAACUUUGUGCUAUAUGAAGAUUUCGUGAAAAAAUACCAAAAAGGAGCGAUUUUCGUCACUGAUAGUUGCCCAAAGGGGAAGGUUUACCUGAAGUAUAAGAAUCGGCCGCAAUUUCGAUGUGUGAGGAUGUUUAUACAAAGCUGACGAAUCCAGAACCUACCAAUAUCAGCAACAUGCCAAUCAUCAUCAGAUCCAUCAGCAACCCUUCAUCCCUCGCAAAACUCACAGCACCAGCAUUUCUCUCGUUUUUUUUUUAACUUAAUAACUUAAUUUAUUUAUAUCGACAAUAAUUUAUUAGCUUUAUUAAUAAAGUAGUCUUGACUGUAUACAUAGAAGUACAAAGAUACAUUUUUCAAUGACUUGAUAAAAGAAUAUUUGUAUUAGAUUAAAUAUUUAUUUUUA